RNAcentral lists this ribosomal RNA (1346 nucleotides) under uncultured bacterium. RNAcentral's name for it is "bacterial SSU rRNA". It matches the Rfam family "Bacterial small subunit ribosomal RNA", at positions 28 to 1381 of the family's 1533-position model. The record is from RNAcentral.
GACGAACGCUGGCGGCGUGCUUAACACAUGCAAGUCGAACGGAAAGGCCCUGCUUUUGUGGGGUGCUCGAGUGGCGAACGGGUGAGUAACACGUGAGUAACCUGCCCUUGACUUUGGGAUAACUUCAGGAAACUGGGGCUAAUACCGGAUAGGAGCUCCUGCUGCAUGGUGGGGGUUGGAAAGUUUCGGCGGUUGGGGAUGGACUCGCGGCUUAUCAGCUUGUUGGUGGGGUAGUGGCUUACCAAGGCUUUGACGGGUAGCCGGCCUGAGAGGGUGACCGGCCACAUUGGGACUGAGAUACGGCCCAGACUCCUACGGGAGGCAGCAGUGGGGAAUAUUGCACAAUGGGCGGAAGCCUGAUGCAGCAACGCCGCGUGCGGGAUGACGGCCUUCGGGUUGUAAACCGCUUUCGCCUGUGACGAAGCGUGAGUGACGGUAAUGGGUAAAGAAGCGCCGGCUAACUACGUGCCAGCAGCCGCGGUGAUACGUAGGGUGCGAGCGUUGUCCGGAUUUAUUGGGCGUAAAGGGCUCGUAGGUGGUUGAUCGCGUCGGAAGUGUAAUCUUGGGGCUUAACCCUGAGCGUGCUUUCGAUACGGGUUGACUUGAGGAAGGUAGGGGAGAAUGGAAUUCCUGGUGGAGCGGUGGAAUGCGCAGAUAUCAGGAGGAACACCAGUGGCGAAGGCGGUUCUCUGGGCCUUUCCUGACGCUGAGGAGCGGAAGCGUGGGGAGCGAACAGGCUUAGAUACCCUGGUAGUCCACGCUGUAAACGGUGGGUACUAGGUGUGGGGUCCAUUCCACGGGUUCCGUGCCGUAGCUAACGCUUUAAGUACCCCGCCUGGGGAGUACGGCCGCAAGGCUAAAACUCAAAGGAAUUGACGGGGCCCCGCACAAGCGGCGGAGCAUGCGGAUUAAUUCGAUGCAACGCGUAGAACCUUACCUGGGUUUGACAUGGAUCGGGAGUGCUCAGAGAUGGGUGUGCCUCUUUUGGGGUCGGUUCACAGGUGGUGCAUGCCUGUCGUCAGCUCGUGUCGUGAGAUGUUGGGUUAAGUCCCGCAACGAGCGCAACCCUUGUUCACUGUUGCCAGCACGUUAUGGUGGGGACUCAGUGGAGACCGCCGGGGUCAACUCGGGGGAAGGUGGGGAUGACGUCAAGUCCUCAUGCCCCUUAUGUCCAGGGCUUCACGCAUGCUACAAUGGCUGGUACAGAGAGUGGCGAGCCUGUGAGGGUGAGCGAAUCUCGGAAAGCCGGUCUCAGUUCGGAUUGGGGUCUGCAACUCGACCUCAUGAAGUCGGAGUCGCUAGUAAUCGCAGAUCAGCAACGCUGCGGUGAAUACGUUCCCGGGGCU